CAAAGUGUAGCUUAUAAAAAGCACCUGGCCUACGCCCAGAAGAUUCCAUACAAAGUGGCCACUUUGA
This 67-nucleotide transfer RNA is filed under the name Boneia bidens (Manado fruit bat). RNAcentral's name for it is "tRNA-Phe". Lineage: Eukaryota; Metazoa; Chordata; Mammalia; Chiroptera; Pteropodidae. The record is from RNAcentral.